This 440-nucleotide ribosomal RNA is filed under the name uncultured bacterium. RNAcentral describes it as "partial 16S ribosomal RNA". It matches the Rfam family "Bacterial small subunit ribosomal RNA", at positions 338 to 795 of the family's 1533-position model. The record is from RNAcentral.
CCUACGGGUGGCAGCAGUGGGGAAUAUUGGACAAUGGGGGCAACCCUGAUCCAGCGACGCCGCGUGAGUGAAGAAGUAUUUAGGUAUGUAAAGCUCCAUCAGCAGGGAAGAAAAUGACGGUACCUGACUAGGAAGCCACGGCUAACUAGGUGCCAGCAGCCGCGGCAAUACGUAGGGGGCAAGCGUUAUCCGGAUUUACUGGGUGUAAAGGGGGCGUAGGCGGUGCAGCAAGUCUGAUGUGAAAGGCCGGGGCCAAACCCCGGGACUGCAUUGGAAACUGUUGAGCUGGAGUAUAGGAGCGGUAGGCGGAAUGCAUGGUGUAGCGGCGAAAUGCAUAGAGAUUAGACAGAACACCAGUGGCGAAGGCAGCUUACUAAACUGUGACUGACGUUGAGGCUCGAAAGCGUGGGGAGCAAACAGGAUUAGAUACCCGUGUAGUC